GAUGAACGCUAGCGGCAGGCCUAAUACAUGCAAGUCGAACGGGAUCUGAGGGUAGCUUGCUACCCGAUUUGAGAGUGGCGCACGGGUGCGUAACGCGUGAGCAACCUACCCAUAUCAGGGGGAUAGCCCGAAGAAAUUCGGAUUAACACCGCAUAAUAAUACGCUAACACAUGUUAAUGUAUUUAAAUAUUUAUAGGAUAUGGAUGGGGUCGCGUGACAUUAGCUAGUUGGUAAGGUAACGGCUUACCAAGGGGACGAUGUCUAGGGGCUCUGGGAGGGGAACCACGCAGACUGGUAGUGAGGAAAGGGCCAGACUCCGACGGGAGGCAGCAGUAAGGAAGAUUGGUCAAUGGGCGUAAGGCUGAACCAGCCAGGGAUCGUGCAAGAUGACUGCCCUAUGGGUUGGAAACUGGUUGUGUUAGGGAAUAAACCUACUUAUGUGUAAGUAGCUGAAUGUACCUAAAGAAUAAGGAUCGGCUAACUCCGUGCCAGCCGCCGCCGUAA
This 504-nucleotide ribosomal RNA is filed under the name uncultured bacterium. RNAcentral's name for it is "partial 16S ribosomal RNA". It matches the Rfam family "Bacterial small subunit ribosomal RNA", at positions 28 to 523 of the family's 1533-position model. The record is from RNAcentral.